Molecule: long non-coding RNA, 802 nt
Filed under: Homo sapiens (human)
Lineage: Eukaryota; Metazoa; Chordata; Mammalia; Primates; Hominidae
Description: HSALNT0342867
Source: RNAcentral
UGAGAACUGCUUUGGAGAGUCUAAUAAGUCCAAAUGAGCAUUAAAAAGGAGAGAGAGUAGGAGAAGUAUCUCUUGAGAAAGGAAAAAGAGUUUUUAACAACUGGCUUAAAAAAUUCCUGAAAAUUUAACAAUCAGCUCUGUGGACCAGAACAAGCUGACUCCAGCACACCAAUGGGAUUGUGGUACUUUUUGUACACGAAACUUAACCACAUACAGACCAAAACACAGACUUCAAUGGAAAACACAGUGGAAGAAAAAUUUAAGAGAAGCAACGUACCUAUUUCUCAGUUUAGGAAAAUCAGUUAUAAUUUAUUCCCCUCUAUAUCUGAAAAUAUCUAUUUUGUCCACUAGCCUUAUUAAUUUUUAUUCUUUGGCUUUAUAUUUCCCAUAUUACACACACACACACACACACACACAAUGGCAUUAAAGAAUUACAGGAGUAAGGUGUAGAAAAAGGAUUCCAAGUAGACACUUGCAGAUCUUAAAUAUUGUUUAAAAAAGAACAAAGGAAGAAGAAUCAUCAAUAUUUAUAAUGAAUUUCCUAAAUAGAGCAACAGUACCAAAAAGGAGACUAUCUUAACUACUAAUUUGAAAUGUAUAAUAGGCAACUUAAGAAACAGCACAUUCCUUAGUUCAGUAUACCCACAUACACUGUUUCAUUUUUUCCAAACAACAUAAUAAAAGAUGGAAAAAACACCCAGUUCACAACUGGAAGUCUAUUACAUUUUCAAAUUUGAUAGUUUUCUUUGCCCCCAAAUUUACAAAACAAUAAAAAACAAUUUAAUUUAAAAAAUUAAAAAAA